GAUGAACGCUGGCGGCGUGCCUAAUACAUGCAAGUCGAGCGAACAGAUGAGGAGCUUGCUCCUCUGACGUUAGCGGCGGACGGGUGAGUAACACGUGGAUAACCUACCUGUAAGACUGGGAUAACUUCGGGAAACCGGAGCUAAUACCGGAUAAUAUAUUGAACCGCAUGGUUCAAUAGUGAAAUACGGUUUUGCUGUCACUUAUAGAUGGAUCCGCGCCGCAUUAGCUAGUUGGUAAGGUAACGGCUUACCAAGGCAACGAUGCGUAGCCGACCUGAGAGGGUGAUCGGCCACACUGGAACUGAGACACGGUCCAGACUCCUACGGGAGGCAGCAGUAGGGAAUCUUCCGCAAUGGGCGAAAGCCUGACGGAGCAACGCCGCGUGAGUGAUGAAGGUCUUCGGAUCGUAAAACUCUGUUAUUAGGGAAGAACAAAUGUGUAAGUAACUAUGCACGUCUUGACGGUACCUAAUCAGAAAGCCACGGCUAACUACGUG
RNAcentral lists this ribosomal RNA (497 nucleotides) under uncultured bacterium. RNAcentral's name for it is "partial 16S ribosomal RNA". It matches the Rfam family "Bacterial small subunit ribosomal RNA", at positions 28 to 507 of the family's 1533-position model. The record is from RNAcentral.